RNAcentral lists this ribosomal RNA (497 nucleotides) under uncultured Glomus. Its description in RNAcentral is "SSU rRNA". It matches the Rfam family "Eukaryotic small subunit ribosomal RNA", at positions 569 to 1071 of the family's 1831-position model. The record is from RNAcentral. Lineage: Eukaryota; Fungi; Glomeromycota; Glomeromycetes; Glomerales; Glomeraceae.
AGCAGCCGCGGUAAUUCCAGCUCCAAUAGCGUAUAUUAAAGUUGUUGCAGUUAAAAAGCUCGUAGUUGAAUUUCGAGAUCAAUUUGUUGGUCGUGCCUCGGUACGUACUGGCAAUUUUGAUUUCUCCCUUCUGAAGAACCAUGAUGUCAUUAAUUUGGUGUCAUGGGGAAUCAGGACCGUUACUUUGAAAAAAUUAGAGUGUUUAAAGCAGGCUCGCGCUUGAAUACAUUAGCAUGGAAUAAUGAAAUAGGACGUUUGAUUCUAUUUUGUUGGUUUCUAGGAUCGACGUAAUGAUUAAUAGGGAUAGUUGGGGGCAUUAGUAUUCAAUUGUCAGAGGUGAAAUUCUUGGAUUUAUUGAAGACUAACUACUGCGAAAGCAUUUGCCAAGGAUGUUUUCAUUAAUCAAGAACGAAAGUUAGGGGAUCGAAGACGAUCAGAUACCGUCGUAGUCUUAACCAUAAACUAUGCCGACUAGGGAUCGGAUGAUGUUAAUUUUU